AGACGAACCGUCCAAACGUUAUUCGGAAUCACUGGGCUUAAAGGGUGCGUAGGCGGCACGGCAAGUUGGGUGUGAAAGCCCUCGGCUCAACCGAGGAAUUGCGCCCAAAACUGCCGCGCUCGAGGGAGACAGAGGUGAGCGGAACUUAGGGUGGAGCGGUGGAAUGCGUUGAUAUCCUAAGGAACACCGGUGGCGAAAGCGGCUCACUGGGUCUCUUCUGACGCUGAGGCACGAAAGCUAGGGGAGCGAACGGGAUUAGAAACCCUAGUAGUCC
RNAcentral lists this ribosomal RNA (274 nucleotides) under uncultured bacterium. RNAcentral describes it as "partial 16S ribosomal RNA". It matches the Rfam family "Bacterial small subunit ribosomal RNA", at positions 523 to 796 of the family's 1533-position model. The record is from RNAcentral.